CGUGCUGCAAACUGCAAAGUAAAUUGUAAACAUGACAAAUAUAUAAUAUUAUAUUAUUAUAUAAUAUAUAUAUAUUUUGUCAUGAUUGUAAAUUAUAAAUUUACCUAUAACUAACAUGACUAUUAUAAUAUUAUAAUUAAAUAAUAUAAUACGAUAAUAUACAGUCAUACAUAUAGCCUAGUUAAUUGUUAUACGAAUAUUCGCAAUGAAAUAGUUAAUGUUAAUUAUAUAAUGUAUUCGGCAAAACGUCGUGAAAAGUAUUGUUUAUAAUAUUUAUAACUAGAGAGCGGAGAGAAGAAAUGCGGACGACAAUCGACAUGAUUCCGGCGUUGAGGAAGAGCAUAUUAUUUAAGAAUAUUUAUUUUAAAAAUACCUAGUUUGUAGAAUAUUCGAAUACCUAUGACACAUUCACAAUUGAAUUCAAAAUAAUUUUCAAAAAUAAUGAAUAAUUAUUUAAAAGGUAACCGUAUAAAAAAAUUGAAAUUGUUAAGGUUCAAUCGGGUUCAAUUUACGAUAAAGAAAUUCAAAUAAUGUUUGUCCUGGACGGCGUGCAUCUCAAAUGGAAGAGAUAAAUUUGUUUGAAAUCGGUGAAAGUGACAGAUCUUCGAGUCCAGAACAGAUGGAUUAUGACGAGGGUUUGUAUAUUGUUGUGUGAAGCGAGAAACUUUUACACAUAUAAGAUAAGCAAUUACGAUGAGCCGGGCCAAGGACCAGGCCAAUGACGUCACUCGUCUUUUUUCAAUUGCUCAUAACUUAUUGAAUAAUAUUUUGAAGCUGAUGGCAGAAGAGUUAAAAAUGACGCAGACUUGUUCUAUGUGGUAAUAUUUCAAUUUGUUUCUUUAUGUAAUCGAUUAACCCUUACAUGACCUGUAUGGUUUUUCCAAAAAUACGAUAAUGAUAAGAUAUUUGAAAGGUACAAUAAUUGGAGCUGCAGACCACAGUGAAUUUAUAUUGGGCUCAUCGGAUAAUCACCCAAUUAAUGUAAUUGUCAAACAUAAGGAUCGGAAACCUAUGACAAGACUGUCAUUUUUUAAGAAUGUUUUCCUGGCAAUCAAUGUGCUACAUGUCUCCUCUAAGGCGAGAAGCAUGAGUUGCUUACCAGCAACAAGUGACGAUUCAUCAGUGACGAGAAAAAAACAUCUAUAAGGAUGAAUGGAAUUAAAUUGCCUGAUUAUUGAAUCAGGCUUGGUUAACUCAUCCUAUCUCGAGGCUGGCACUAUAAGUGUCUACUAUUAUGGGACAGUUUAUGGACUGAAGGGUGGUAACUUGUGUUCUGUAAUGAGAAAAAUUACAGAAGUUGGAUUUCUUUCUUUGUUGUCCAUUGCAUACAGAAUACCUUAGGUACAAAAGAACAAGCUGACAUAGUUGCUACAGUUAUUGCAAAUUUAAAUUGAUAUUGAGUUUUACUUUGACAAAAUGAAUGAUAUUGAUGUUUAAAAAGAACAUGCUCAAGAAUAAGUAUAAUUGCCAAUAGGAAUUAAAGUAAUUAACUAGAACUUAAUAUUUAUUAGAACAAAACUAAUAAAAUUAAAUUAAAAGCAUAUAAUUAUAGAAAUAUAUCACUUUUAUUUCGAGAUUUCUCACUGGGGCUCAGUAUUCAUAUUUUGUUGUAUUCUGGACCGCCCCAUGGUGGCGAUGUGACUAUAACGUUACCCUUUAUCUAAUUUGCCAGUUUGAAAAAAUCUCCAACAACAAACUCAAUCUUCUCAAGUACGCCAUAAAUCGUGGCAUUUUGCUUGACCAUCACUAUCUUGUCUACGUCAAUAUCUACAGCAAUGACUAUUACAAAUAGAAAAUAUUACAAUUAUUAGAAGCCAAAGAUAAAAGUGCAAAAAAUAUUACAGUACCUUUGUCGAACAGUCGGGCUAGCUGGAUUAUAUUUCCGCCGGCGCCGCAAAACGGGUCCACGGCCACUUUCACCCGGUCACAUUUUUCUGCCAUAUGGUAAUGUCACUGAGUCUCUCGGGAAAGCUCACUAUAAAACCAAACAUACGAUUAUAAUAUAUAUCUUUUUUAUUUUUAACAUGAUAUGAUACAUAAUAUAUAAUAUUUAAAUGUUUUUUUAUACAUGCCCUCGUCCAUCAGAAUACCUUGGUCGAAUUUCGAAAAUAAGGCAUGUCUCUUUUUCCAAUAUUUAUAUGUGCUUGGUCUAUGGGCAAUAUAAAAAAACAUUAUUUAAUUUCUAAUUAUAACUAUGAGUAAAUGCACGUACGUGGUGUCCUCGCGGCUGACGGCUUCACGACGCUGUAGAUCGGCAUUUAAAUAAAUUAUAUUGUGGGAAUACACAUUCAAACUUCAAACUAAAAUCUCCAAAAUCUUAAACAGAAAAACUAUUUAAAAUAUUUAGUUCAUUAAAGAAGGAUUAUUCAAGGGGUACCAGAUUGUCAAUGUUUAAAAAAUUUGACAAGAGUUAAAAUCAUAAAAAAUUGAAGGGAGGUAUUGGCGCCGGCAGACAAAUGCAAUUUAAAAAACCAAAAAAAAAUUAGAAAAAGUACUUCCGAAGGAAAACACAAUACGAAGUUUAAACUAAAAUGCUCAGAUUCUUAAACAGAAAAAACUAUUCAAACUAAUAAUAGGUAGUUCAUUAAAGAAGGAUUAUUCAAAGGGUACCAGAUUGUCCAUGUUUAAAAAAUUUGGCUAGAGUUAAAAUCAUAAAAAAAAAUGAAGGGAAGUGUUGGCGCCUGCAGGCAAAUGCAUUUUAGAAAACAAAAAAAAAUUUAAAUAAAUUAUAUUGUGGGAAUGCACAUUGUAAUGAUAUGCUCACACACCAUUAUAAUAAACUAAAAUUUUACAGAAUAAUAAACAACGGCCAGACUGUCGCUUGUAGAAAUCGGUCGCAUCAAAUAAAACCAUUGACAACGACAACUAAUAAUUCGACACGCACUCAUAACAAUAUUACGUAGGAUGAGUGUGACCUUAUUUUAUGCUGACGCCAAAGAAUAAUCUAGUUCCCAGGCCCACAAGAAGUUAGUGACAAAGCCACCCUCCACUCUCUGGUCAGCAUUCUCGCGUCCGUCCCUUAAACCAGUGCAUGAGCACCAACCACUGCAGUAACAACCUCUCAAGUACCAAAGAAAACCGAUUUCAACGAGCGACAACUGGACUUCUUAUGCAAGCAAUAAUCAGUGCGUUCGUUAAUUCAAUCUGUGUAUUUGAAGUAGUACUUUAUUUUAUCUAAAACCAAAAACUCUUAAAAUAUUGUCUACGAACAACUGCGAAUCAGGUAAGGCAUAUGAUAUAAUAUUUCAUGUUGAUUGCAGUCAAUACGUUCUAUGUGCUUUUUUCCAUAAAAUUAUAUUGUACGGUGUAUUUGUUAUAAUUCUCGAAUACACUAUCUCGAGAGCCCUCCGAACACCUGGAGGAAAGUAAUAGCGUAACUUUACUAUUCUAACUUGUACCAUUUUAAAUUUAUUAUCGACAGGAGUCGUAUUUAUAUUUUGUUAUAUGUUAUCUAAUUUUACGUUAUUACAAAGUGGCGCCCAACACAAGUUCAGUUUAUUCAGAUAAAUAAAC
Molecule: long non-coding RNA, 3513 nt
Organism: Metopolophium dirhodum (rose-grain aphid)
Lineage: Eukaryota; Metazoa; Arthropoda; Insecta; Hemiptera; Aphididae
Exons: 8
Source: RefSeq, a predicted model, not a curated record